CAUCAGUCAGGAGCAUGAAGUUUGACCAGGUUACCCUGCAGCCCAGGCAGCGAGACACCUCACCUGUCUCCUCCUGUUGGGUGAGCUCCUGAGACACAGUUCAAAAUAGUAUCCUGAAGACGAGAGGAGACAGAUCCACGCUGGGCAGGUGCACAGUCACGCCACGGCAGUUUUCCUAGAAGAGUGAAGACGGCAACACUUCCUCCCUUUUCAGCAGAACAUCUUUGAGUCCAGUGGCUUACAUUUGUGAGAAAGAAGAGCCCAGUGUGAAGAGGCCUAUGGUGUGGCUGGGAAGCAAGAAGAGAGAACAGGAUGCCCCAGGAGACUUUCAGUGGCGCCAUCCUGUGGCAGUGUUCAUGGAACAGUGUUCAUGGGACCAACUGAGGCAUCAGAAGGCGAAUCCAGACCAGGCCUCAAGAGGACCUUCUGCACCUCCCAAGUCCCUUCAGUAGACCACUCAGGACACCUGACCUGACCAGCUGCCUUUCCAAGAUUCCUGUUUAUGGAUGCUACAACAGGAAAGCCAGUGUCACAUGCAAUACACACACCUGCCGUGAGGGUGGUCACUGAUGCUUCUGAGAGGAAGAAACGCCCAGGAGAUGAGCGAAAGUGAACUACAGAUCCACGGGAGCAUCCAGAAGUCCUCGUAGCAUGGUCAAGAAUGAAUGAAUGUGUGAAACACAAAGGGCUGAUAAACAUUAAAUUAUUUUGAAC
This 714-nucleotide long non-coding RNA is filed under the name Ictidomys tridecemlineatus (thirteen-lined ground squirrel). RNAcentral's name for it is "lncRNA (ENSSTOG00000032960.1)". The record is from RNAcentral. Lineage: Eukaryota; Metazoa; Chordata; Mammalia; Rodentia; Sciuridae.